GACGAACGCUGGCGGCAGGCCUAACACAUGCAAGUCGAGCGGACCUUUCGGGGUCAGCGGCGGACGGGUGAGUAACGCGUGGGAAUAUGCCCUUCUCUACGGAAUAGUCCUGGGAAACUGGGGGUAAUACCGUAUACGCCCUUUGGGGGAAAGAUUUAUCGGCGAAGGAUUAGCCCGCGUUGGAUUAGGUAGUUGGUGGGGUAAUGGCCUACCAAGCCGACGAUCCAUAGCUGGUUUGAGAGGAUGAUCAGCCACACUGGGACUGAGACACGGCCCAGACUCCUACGGGAGGCAGCAGUGGGGAAUCUUAGACAAUGGGGGCAACCCUGAUCUAGCCAUGCCGCGUGAGUGAUGAAGGCCUUAGGGUUGUAAAGCUCUUUCAGCUGGGAAGAUAAUGACGGUACCAGCAGAAGAAGCCCCGGCUAACUCCGUG
RNAcentral lists this ribosomal RNA (433 nucleotides) under uncultured bacterium. RNAcentral's name for it is "partial 16S ribosomal RNA". It matches the Rfam family "Bacterial small subunit ribosomal RNA", at positions 28 to 507 of the family's 1533-position model. The record is from RNAcentral.